This 667-nucleotide ribosomal RNA is filed under the name Salmonella enterica subsp. enterica. RNAcentral describes it as "partial 23S ribosomal RNA". It matches the Rfam family "Bacterial large subunit ribosomal RNA", at positions 161 to 867 of the family's 2925-position model. The record is from RNAcentral. Lineage: Bacteria; Pseudomonadati; Pseudomonadota; Gammaproteobacteria; Enterobacterales; Enterobacteriaceae.
AAUCCAUAGGUUAAUGAGGCGAACCGGGGGAACUGAAACAUCUAAGUACCCCGAGGAAAAGAAAUCAACCGAGAUUCCCCCAGUAGCGGCGAGCGAACGGGGAGGAGCCCAGAGCCUGAAUCAGCAUGUGUGUUAGUGGAAGCGUCUGGAAAGGCGCGCGAUACAGGGUGACAGCCCCGUACACAAAAGCGCAUGUGUUGUGAGCUCGAUGAGUAGGGCGGGACACGUGGUAUCCUGUCUGAAUAUGGGGGGACCAUCCUCCAAGGCUAAAUACUCCUGACUGACCGAUAGUGAACCAGUACCGUGAGGGAAAGGCGAAAAGAACCCCGGCGAGGGGAGUGAAAAAGAACCUGAAACCGUGUACGUACAAGCAGUGGGAGCACAGGUUUACCUGUGUGACUGCGUACCUUUUGUAUAAUGGGUCAGCGACUUAUAUUCUGUAGCAAGGUUAACCGUAUAGGGGAGCCGGAGGGAAACCGAGUCUUAAUUGGGCGUUAAGUUGCAGGGUAUAGACCCGAAACCCGGUGAUCUAGCCAUGGGCAGGUUGAAGGUUGGGUAACACUAACUGGAGGACCGAACCGACUAAUGUUGAAAAAUUAGCGGAUGACCUGUGGCUGGGGGUGAAAGGCCAAUCAAACCGGGAGAUAGCUGGUUCUCCCCGAAAGCU